CCCCAAAAACCCAAAUGUUAAAAAUUUCAAGAAUGACUUAUUUUUAUAUGGUGUGACAUUAAGGUAACUGAGUUAGCGAACUUGGUUUUAAAUACAAGUUAGUAUGUGAAACGAAAUAAAUGACAAGUUUUAAAAGUUUAAGGGGUUAAAAGGAAAAUGUGUUAAAUAAAACACUUUACAAAAAAAUAAUGUCAGUAUCUUGGGGGGGUUCUAUGCGUGCGAUCGAGAACAGGGCCAAGAGAAGAGCCAAAAACCCUAACAACCAAAAAUCAUCAAAUUGAUAAGGAGAUCAAGGGAAAAAUCGAAUGCAUGGGUCUCGAUACUCUUUAAUCUAAGUGUAUUGAUCAUAAGGAACGUGUCAAGGAGAGCUCAAGCAUAGGAGGAUAACGGGUCAAGAUAAGGCAAGGUGACAAAUACACUUAUUGGAGUACUCAAGGAACAUGUCAAGGAGAGCUCAAGCAUAGGAGGAUAACGGGUCAAGAUAAGGCAAGGUGACAAAUACACUUAUUGGAGUACUCAAGGUUAUGAAUGUCGGACUUUCAAAGUGUUGAUAUAAUAAUGAAACGGUUGAAUCUUGAAAGGAUAAUCGGAUUGAAGUAACUUAUGCGGUUAGAAUAUGCUGUGGACGUUUUAGUUUUUACAACAUUUUAUGUUUGGUCGUCAUCAUCUACCAACAGGUUAGUUGUUUGAAAAUAUAUGUCAUACCCAUUAAAUUGGGUAAUCGAAUGCGCGAGAGAAAUGAAAGUACAUACACGAACGGAACUAAAGUGACGGUUUUAUAAGUAAAUAAGUAAAUGACUAACUUUUUAAAGCUUUGUUGUUGAAUGUAGGUAAAUCCUCAAUUCAGGCGACUUGGAGAAUCGGAGCAAGCGCGUGUUCAUGUUAUGUCAUACCAAACGCUUCCGCUAGUUUGUCCAAAUGUUUUUGGUCCAAAAUUUGUUGCAACGGUUUUUAGUAGUAUUUUGUUGAACGAAUCGUAGAAUUGUAUCUAGUUUGAUUAUGAUUAAAACAGGGGUAUGCCCGUUUUACGGACGGGUCAUGCCCAAAUUUUGUUAAAAUUAAUGCAUAUGCUAUUGAUAUCA
Helianthus annuus (common sunflower) is the source of this 1082-nucleotide long non-coding RNA. RefSeq lists it as uncharacterized. The record is from RefSeq and is a predicted model, not a curated record. Lineage: Eukaryota; Viridiplantae; Streptophyta; Magnoliopsida; Asterales; Asteraceae. The transcript is spliced from 4 exons.